Molecule: long non-coding RNA, 1536 nt
Filed under: Homo sapiens (human)
Lineage: Eukaryota; Metazoa; Chordata; Mammalia; Primates; Hominidae
Description: HSALNT0173170
Source: RNAcentral
CUAUGUCAGAGGGAGGGUCUGGGACUCAAGUGCUGCUGUUCAGAUUCUUUUGUCCCACGAGGGUGCUCCUGUGAUGUGGUACUCUCCUGUUUCCCCUAGGGAUGGGAAUUCCUGAGAGCUGAACUGCAGUGAUUAUUAUCUCUUUACAGGAUCUAUCCACCCAGUGUAACUACCGGGCUCUUGGCUUUUACUGGGGAGUGUCUUUAAAGAGUACUGUGAUGUGAUCCAUCUUCAGAUCUCUCAGCUGUGGACACUGGAACCUACUCUUGUGGAGGAAGCAGCAUGCAUUUGUAUGUGAGUGCCAGUGCGGGUCAUCACAGCUUGCAUCCAUUUCAAGUCUUCAUCUAACAUACAGAAGGUCUUCAGAUUGAGAGGAGCAGAACAUGAGGUACUGAACUCAAGAGGUCUCACGUGCACUUGGACCUGAUUUACAUGACAAGGUUCUGGCCUGAUUCAGUAACAUGAUACAAUCUUAUGUGGGGUAUUGGGAGGUUGAGUAUGUAUUUUUCAUGGGGAAGAAUGUAAAUAAUCCAUGGAAUAAAAAAUAUGACUUUUAAAAUGUGGCCUCAGAAUCCUUUGCACUCCUCUCAUUAAGAAGUAAGGUCUAUGAGUUUCCCUUUGAAUUUGAGUGGGCUUUUGACUUCUUCAUUCAAUACUGCAAGUUUCAAGUGAUGUUAUGUGACUUCUAAAUCUAGAUUAUAAAAGGUCUUGCAGAUUUUGCAUAAUUUUUUUAAAUUACACAAAAAUCAUUUUUGCAUAAUUCUCCUUCCUGGAGCUUUCAUUCUUGUACAUUCCCUCCCAGAAUCUAGCCACCAUGCUGCGAGAAUUCCAAGCCUCACAGAGAGGGCCCGUGUAGGUUCAAAGUACUAGAGUCCCAGUUGAGACUGUCCUUGAGCCACCACACCCCGAAAAGCAGACUGUGGGUAGAGUUAAUAUUGGAAAUGUUUUCUCCAGUCUUAGUUGUCCCAGCCCCCGGCUUCUAGAGGUAUCUCCAGCUGUUUAAGAGAUCUCAACUGAGGUAGCAGAUAUGGUAAAGUUCUAAAAUGCCACUCCUAUUCUGUACACCCUAAUUUCCAAAUUCACAUAAUUUGUAACCAUAAUAAAGCAAUUGCAAUCAUGUACUACUAAAAUAUAGGAUAUUUUAAACACAGCAACUUUAAAAGAAGUAUUGACAUAUUUUGCUACAUUGAAGUCAUGCUCUCUGUAGCCAAGAGACUCUCUUUUCACUUCUUUUUAAUUAAACUCAUACUUCCUCCAACUCAUACUUGUGAAAUAUCAUUAUUUAUGAGUAUUGAGCAAAACAUUAUUCAAAACUACAUAUACAGCAUUUAUUCCUUUAAAUGGUCCAUGUCUUUUUGAAAACCUUCUUAGCUAGACCUUCCCUGUUUUCUAGUUAAAUUCCUGCUAAUCUAACCUAAACUAUCAGCAACAUCUCAAGGAUAACUAUGGAGGAAAUGUUCCACCUCUUGAAAUAAACAAGGAUAAAAGAAAAUUCAUCUUUGGCAUUUUUAACUCACUGUAAAAUUAAGUAUAUGG